RNAcentral lists this long non-coding RNA (233 nucleotides) under Gossypium barbadense (sea-island cotton). Its description in RNAcentral is "long non-coding RNA (GBAR_LNC022238)". The record is from RNAcentral. Lineage: Eukaryota; Viridiplantae; Streptophyta; Magnoliopsida; Malvales; Malvaceae.
UCAAUUAAGGCCUUAGCCCAUUACAAUACAGAAGCAGUCAUGCAUUUGGGCAUUGGCCCAUUACAGUAUCAAUACUCAGUACAGUAAUAGAUAUGCAGUAUCAAAUCCUACCCAGCCAGCCUCUACACUCCAACUCCGUCCAACCCUACACUCCAUGUGGAGAUAUAAUCAACCCACCUAUCCCUACACUCCAAGUAGCACCGAAUACGGCAUUAGAAAGUAAUUUAAGCUGC